ACACAUCUUCGUUGAGUUCUCCAUGAAACAAAGCAUUUUUAUGUCCAAUUGACAAUAGAGACAAAGAUACGAAGGAAAACUAAUGCAAUCUUUGCCAUUUGAUAUAUCUUUCCAUCAAGACCUCCUUUAAUUGUAGACGCCCAACGACAACUAAAUUAGUUUUACCUUUUGGUUGUGGAACUAUCUCCCAAGUAUUAUUAGCAUGAAGAGCAGUUAUUUCCUCAACUAUAGCUUUGCUCCAACCAUGAUAGGACAUUACUUCUGCUACAAUCUUAGGUAAUAGGGCAGUAGAUAGAUCGGAAAGAAAUGCAUACUAAAAGCACAACCGUACAACAAUGGUGUCUGAAGAGAUGUCGCUUGGAGCAGGCUGUGGACCUGUAUCAUUAAGAGAAAAAGUAUUUGGAUUAGCGAAAGGAGGAUUUG
This 423-nucleotide unclassified non-coding RNA is filed under the name Hevea brasiliensis (rubber tree). The record is from RNAcentral. Lineage: Eukaryota; Viridiplantae; Streptophyta; Magnoliopsida; Malpighiales; Euphorbiaceae.